AACCUAGCGUUGUGCAUUUAUAUCCUCAGAAUACACGUGCCGCUUCUUUUCUCCAAAAAUGAAAACCCUCCUUUUUCUCAAACUUCAAUCCCAAAUAGCGUUUCUUCUUCCUCUCUCAAGCCCUAGAACAUCAAAAGUAAUAGAAGUCAAGGUGUUAUGUUGUGAAGAGCGUCACAAACUCUGCUUGAAUUAACUAACUCCUCACAGAAACGAAAAUGCAAUUCUUGUCACUCAGACUGGGCAAGAGGCUCUCCGAUGCUUCGAAGCCUCACUGGAGAAUCUCACCAAACCUUCUCGCUCAUGCAUCAACCACCUCUUCCUCCCCUUCCCCACCGUCACCUCCGAUCUCCGCCGCCUCCACUCUCAACAACCUCCUCUCCGCUCCCUGGUCCGCAUCUCAAACCCGCCGAUUGACUUUCUCCGGAUCUCAUGUUAGAGUUGGAAAUCUCUUUGAGAAUCGAGGACGCGCUUAUGAGGUUCUUAAGCUAUAUAACUCUCAUGAAGGAGCAGGAAAAGCUGCUAUCAAGGUUCCACCUCAUAGCGUAGCUGGUUAUGCCACAGUUGCUGCUACUACAGAAGAUGACAUCAAAAGGAAGGAGCGAAACAGUGGAUUGAGGAAUCAAGGCAUAAAGACAAAGAGAGAGCAGCUCCUAAAAGUUACUGCAGUUGUUCCCCUUCUUUUAGUAUACCCAAACGCCUAUUCACUGCUCGCGGCAAAUUUCUUCGUACUCUGGCACAUAAAUGCAGGGAUCGAAGAGAUUUUGGCAGAUUAUGUUCACCAUGAAAUGACCAGGGAAUUUAUCUUCAUUUCUCUCAGGUUGUUCUUGAUAAUAGCUAUUAAGGAUGUUUUCUUAAACUUCGUAUUUGUGUGAUUGGAUAGAGCUUGGAUGCCGCGACAUUGCCUUACAAUAACAGCUCCCUGAGGAGCAAACUUGAGAAACCUGUUGAAUAGUUUUUUUCGCUUCUUCAACUUAGAGGCGAGGUUUUUUCUCUCUGAACAACAAUUAUAUUUAUCCAAAAGCAAUUCUCUUACAAACAACAAUUCACAACUUAUGAGGUCAGGUAAGAAUCAUUUUGUGUUGUAAACACGGGUUAGAAGACUUUCAACUUCAACUUGCAACCAAACACCUACUUUGAUUUUGUAUUUAAUGCGAGGCUAUCAUGAAAUUCUUUAUGGGUGAAAGGAAAGUGUCAUGUAAACUUCUUAAUAUUAUUUUUCAUCCGUGAUUUUGAGUC
Molecule: RNA transcript, 1236 nt
Organism: Vicia villosa (hairy vetch)
Lineage: Eukaryota; Viridiplantae; Streptophyta; Magnoliopsida; Fabales; Fabaceae
Exons: 7
Source: RefSeq, a predicted model, not a curated record